RNAcentral lists this long non-coding RNA (1386 nucleotides) under Phasianus colchicus (ring-necked pheasant). RNAcentral's name for it is "lncRNA (ENSPCLG00000008607.1)". Lineage: Eukaryota; Metazoa; Chordata; Aves; Galliformes; Phasianidae. The record is from RNAcentral.
UGCCGCUGCUCUGACUUUCUCAAUGGAACCUCAUGGGUGGUGAAAUGACUUGAGAAAAUCUGAUCCAAAACUACUUAAAGAUAAAAAGUCAUCUGGGAACAUUGGUCAGAUGCUGAUAGUGAUUAACUUCUAGGUUUUUAAUCAGAAAAUUAUAGCGAUGUAACUUUAACUUUUCAUAAACUACACUCUACAUGCAAAUUCACAAGCCAGUUCACAUAAGCUCAGAUAAGAUCUCUGUAUUUCGCAAAAUAAUAUGGGCAACAAUUAAAAUUAAUAGUGGAAGUACUAGAAUUGCUUUGUUUCCUCUCUUCUGAGCAAUAAGAACGCUUCUGUUCUCUGCAUGCACAGAGGAGAACACAUGUAAAUUCAAACACUUCUGCUGUUAUUGAUGAUUUCAUCCCACAGCUCUGUGAUCUUCUGUCUUGUCGCCAUCUGCACGAAGGUUUCUUUGCAGCUGCCUGAUUUCCCUCAUCCCUGUGGGCUGUGCUGAGGGUGGUUGGAUCCCCCUGCCUGGGGUCCCCAAAGUAUGGGAUGUGAGCAGGUGGCCCUGGGACUGCAGGCACUGAGUCCAGGGUCGCCAACCAGCAGGCCAGGCUGCCCAGAGCCACAUCCAGCCUGGGAAGAUGGAUGUGAAGAUGGAGAUGUCCUGGAGGAGGAAGGAGACUUCCAAAAGUCUCAGGAAGAACACACUGGUAUCUGAUGAGGCAGUGCAGGAAUCGUUACCCAGCUGCAGAUGCUUCUUCUGCCCUGUCUCGUGUUGGAAGAACCCCUCAUGGCUGUGCUCACUCCUUCUCUACGGUGGUUUUAACACCAGGACUUCCACACUGCUGUGGCUGAGGCAACAAGAAAGGCCACAACCUAACUGUACUUUAAGUAACCAGGUAAUGCUUCAGUAUCUCAAUUACUUCUUGUGAAGCAGCUUCCAUCGUAUCUGAAAGAUGAGUUAUAAUUUGGGGACUGGCCUUAGUAACCUUUGGAGGUCCCUUCCAACCCCUGUGUUUCUGUGAUUAUCAGUUGUGGAUAAACAGAACUGGCAGCUGAAUGAGGUACAGGGGCUUAAAUGAUGUGCUGAGCUUGGGAAUGAUCUGAGGUUGGCACAUCUCUACAACAGUGGUUUCAAUUUAUGUUCUUCAAGCAUGUUUUUCCUGGAGAACACACAGGCCCACACAGUGAUGGAUGGGGCAUGCUGUCAUUUUGAGUCACCAGUAUUUUGGGAUGGAAUAGGGAAGCUCCUUAAAAGCAGACAGUAUCACUUUUACUGCUUUGUUUUCAUGGGCGAAUGUUGCUUUGAGACUCAUGUAAGCUCUGUGUCUUAUUUGGUACCAAAAGCGUGCUGUGAAAUUUCAUUUCAAAGUACUCUCAGGGUCAUUUAUACACAUAUAAUGG